UACGGAGGGUGCAAACGUUGCUCGGAAUCAUUGGGCGUAAAGCGCACGUAGGCGGCCUGUUAAGUCGGGUGUGAAAUCCCUCGGCUCAACCGAGGAAGUGCAUUCGAAACUGGCGGGCUUGAAUGUGGAAGAGGGUCGUGGAAUUCCCGGUGUAGAGGUGAAAUUCGUAGAUAUCGGGAGGAACACCAGUGGCGAAGGCGGCGACCUGGGCCAACAUUGACGCUGAGGUGCGAAAGCGUGGGGAGCAAACAGG
Molecule: ribosomal RNA, 253 nt
Filed under: uncultured bacterium
Lineage: Bacteria
Description: partial 16S ribosomal RNA
Rfam family: Bacterial small subunit ribosomal RNA
Source: RNAcentral